UCGGGGCGUGGCGCAGCCUGGUAGCGCACCUGCUUUGGGAGCAGGGGGUCGCCGGUUCGAAUCCGGCCGCCCCGAUC
Molecule: transfer RNA, 77 nt
Filed under: freshwater metagenome
Also listed under: 1 other name
Description: tRNA-Pro
Rfam family: tRNA
About the family: Transfer RNA (tRNA) molecules are approximately 80 nucleotides in length.
Source: RNAcentral